RNAcentral lists this transfer RNA (74 nucleotides) under Streptomyces fradiae. RNAcentral describes it as "tRNA-Leu". It matches the Rfam family "tRNA". From Rfam's summary of the family: Transfer RNA (tRNA) molecules are approximately 80 nucleotides in length. Their secondary structure includes four short double-helical elements and three loops (D, anti-codon, and T loops). Further hydrogen bonds mediate the characteristic L-shaped molecular structure. tRNAs have two regions of fundamental functional importance: the anti-codon, which is responsible for specific mRNA codon recognition, and the 3' end, to which the tRNAs corresponding amino acid is attached (by aminoacyl-tRNA synthetases). tRNAs cope with the degeneracy of the genetic code in two manners: having more than one tRNA (with a specific anti-codon) for a particular amino acid; and 'wobble' base-pairing, i.e. permitting non-standard base-pairing at the 3rd anti-codon position. RNAcentral also lists the same sequence under 1 other name. Lineage: Bacteria; Bacillati; Actinomycetota; Actinomycetes; Kitasatosporales; Streptomycetaceae. The record is from RNAcentral.
GGGCCCGUAUCCCAGCGGCAAGAGGACGCCGGUUUAGAUCCGGUGCGUCGUGGGUUCGAAUCCCACCGGGCCCA